Cyprinus carpio carpio is the source of this 263-nucleotide long non-coding RNA. The record is from Ensembl. Lineage: Eukaryota; Metazoa; Chordata; Actinopteri; Cypriniformes; Cyprinidae.
CUGGACUCGAGGCGGAGGGGGCGAGGAUUCCAGUACUUGGUGGACUGGGAAGGUUACGGUCCGGAGGAGAGGAGUUGGGUACCUGCUAGGGACAUAUUGGAUCACUCCCUUAUUGAUGAUUACAAUCAGCAGUUCCUGUGCCAUCCUCUCCUGCUGCCAACUCACCAUCACCAUCUGGAUUACUCACCGUCUCCCACCAUCUUGGAUUGUCGUCUUCCCAGCGUUGUUUGUAUUCUUGUUUGUUUUGUUUGGUUCUCAUUAAA